Argentina anserina (silverweed cinquefoil) is the source of this 529-nucleotide long non-coding RNA. RefSeq lists it as uncharacterized. The record is from RefSeq and is a predicted model, not a curated record. Lineage: Eukaryota; Viridiplantae; Streptophyta; Magnoliopsida; Rosales; Rosaceae. The transcript is spliced from 5 exons.
UGAUGAUCUAAUCAAUUCAUUAGAAGAGCGGGACUGAUUUGAGCCUAUUGGUGUAGGGGAUUCUUGCAUAGUGUUCACAUCGAAACUUCUUGCAACAUCUCCAAAAAUGGUGUAGGUGAUUUUUUUGUGAGAGAGGUUUAGAUUCGUCAAGAAGUUAGAAGAAUGUUUCUGGAUUACUGUGGAAAGAAGAACAAAAAGGGUUGUUGUCAUUGUGGAGGAUUCACUUAAACGUCCAAGGUUUUAAGGUUGUUGAUUUUUUUCGAAUUGAAGAUAGAAGCAAAUGUUUGAGACUGAUAUAACUAAGGCUUGAUUGGUUCUUCACCUCUUCUUCCUCUGCCUUAUAUCAAGCACAAUCUGAUGAAUGUGGAGGCUAAAGGUUGAUGUUGAAUGUUCUUGGCAUAUAUGAAAGUGUCAGGCACGUUUUGACACUGCGGAAGUUCAAGUAAAAUGCAGAUCAUGUCCAUUGUAAAAUAGUGGCUAUGGAAUUAUGAGGAAAUUGUGUGAUAUAUUUUGUUAUUUUGACUAUAGU